This 72-nucleotide transfer RNA is filed under the name Bacteroidota bacterium. Its description in RNAcentral is "Bacteroidetes bacterium tRNA-Arg". It matches the Rfam family "tRNA". Rfam says of the family: Transfer RNA (tRNA) molecules are approximately 80 nucleotides in length. Their secondary structure includes four short double-helical elements and three loops (D, anti-codon, and T loops). Further hydrogen bonds mediate the characteristic L-shaped molecular structure. tRNAs have two regions of fundamental functional importance: the anti-codon, which is responsible for specific mRNA codon recognition, and the 3' end, to which the tRNAs corresponding amino acid is attached (by aminoacyl-tRNA synthetases). tRNAs cope with the degeneracy of the genetic code in two manners: having more than one tRNA (with a specific anti-codon) for a particular amino acid; and 'wobble' base-pairing, i.e. permitting non-standard base-pairing at the 3rd anti-codon position. The record is from RNAcentral. Lineage: Bacteria; Pseudomonadati; Bacteroidota.
GGUCCCAUAGUACAACGGAUAGUAUGCGGGUUUCCGAAACCCUUGAUCCAGGUUCGAUUCCUGGUGGGACCA